GGAGCAUGGCUUAGUGGCGGAGCAUCUGCUUAUCAUGCAAAAUGUCCUAAAUUCAAUCCCUGGCAUCUCCA
Molecule: transfer RNA, 71 nt
Filed under: Sphaerodactylus townsendi
Lineage: Eukaryota; Metazoa; Chordata; Lepidosauria; Squamata; Sphaerodactylidae
Description: tRNA-Asp
Source: RNAcentral